CUUCCCGGCGCUAUCGCGAGAACUCCGCGCAGCCCAGUGGCCGGUGGUGGACGCGCUCCCGGAGAUGUCGCGAGACUUCGGGGCGCCGGGCCCGCGCGGAGUCUCCGGCGGUACCGCGAGGUUUCCCCUCCCCCCGCUCCCGCCCGGCUCUGCUCGGGAGGAGAGCGGCGGCGAAUUCUCGCGAGAUCACGACCCCCCUCCCCACACACAACACACAGCCUGCGCCCCGCCGUCCUUUUGUUCGCCGCUCUCGCGAGAGCGCCCCGCGCGCGCGGCCGAGACGCCGCUAGAAGGAGGCGGGCCCUGGGUCACGUGGGCGGGCGCCGCCGCCAUCUUGUCGCUCCCCCCUCAGCGGGCAGUGGCGCAGCGCGUAAUGGCGGCGCGGCGGGAGGAGGGGCUGCUGCGCCCAGAACGCACCGGCCUGCCUCCCCCGCCUGCCCUUAGAGCAGGCCCGGACACGCCAGCCUGCGGCUCUGUAGGGCUCAGACCAUUCCUUGUGCUUGCUGCCCUGUGAGCCGCUCCCCCCAGCACUCUGCUGGUGGGUUCCAGUAGUCAUGUCACAUCUUCAUCAGCUCUUUCUCCAAGCCCCUUAGCCAUCAAACGUACUGACGUGCCAAAGGACUGCCCGUAUUUUCCCUGUAGCGCCAGUUUUGCCGGCUAUCUCUACAUCCCCACCUUGGAUUAGAUCUUUUAGACUGUAAGCAUCAGUCAAACAGCAAGCCCAAAGAAGAGAAGAUGAAGACAAAAGAAGAGAGACUCAUAGCAGCAAGAAGAAAGGAAAGAAACACAUCAGUAAAUCUUGGAUUCACAUUCUCAUUGUGAACUGGUUUGAACUAGUAAGCUCAUAAUUGCCUAAAUCAAAAUAGGCACCCAGUCAAGAUGGCUCCUACAUUAAUCAGCAUCAGUUAUACUUGAAGGAGGCACUAAUGUUUCUCAUUUCAGUUUCUGUAAGCCUUUUCUAAUUACCAUUUCUAAAUACCAAGUGCAACUUCUAUGUUAUGUAACAUAUAUGUAACAUUAGAGUCUUCUUUGAAAGCCUUUCAGAGCCUUACUGAACAAGUACCACUUGCCAGCCCUCUCCCCUCUGGUGUGCAGGGGUUUGACUUCAGCUGCCAGCUGUGAGCACCUGGCAAGGUCUGACCUUUGCAGAUGGUGGUUGUGCAAUGUGGUGCAGCUGCCAGGAGUGCUUGGGUUGAGAGAGUGGCCUCAGCCAUCUGAGGAAUGCCCAGUGUUGCUCCUUAUUAAGUGAGAGGGUGACUCUGAUAGCUUAGAAAUGCCUGUGGGAUUGUCAGGGUCCUGAGGACACUCCCAGCUCCCCACAGCCCUGCCAGGAAUUGAAAGGAUGAACCAUGAAGACCAUGAAACAAACCCAACACUGGUCUUUGGGAGAAAGGGGAAAGAAGGUCCCUCUUCCUAUUUUCCUGGCUGUUGCUGCGGUGUUGGUUCUGUCACUUGGCAGGGGAAGGAUCACUAGCAAGGGAAUGGGGGUAGUGUAGGGACUUGUAAUACAAAGGUUGGUGGCCUGAGUUAAUGUCACCAGGUUAGCAGGUCAUCAAGACCACAGGGCAUUGACCUGCUGUCUCUCAGGGCAUUCGGAUAUGGAAAAAGCGUGAUUAGUCCUGAUGACUGCCAGAGCUGAGACAGGUGGAGAUACUGACAGUUCCAAACAGCUACAAAAAGAUACCCAAACCCUGUGCAUAGUCACCAAUCCAGGAAUAACCCAGGACUUCAGAGCUGGAAUCCCUUGUGUUCUCUAUGGCAUCACACAGAUCCUGGAUCCAUUACGCGGAUACAAACUUCAUAUUGCCUGGAUUUUUGGUUAAAUGGCUUAAACAUGCUGGCCUGGUGCCUGGUGGCUGCUCUUGUGAGUGUGAGAAUAGAAAUGUGGCUGA
RNA transcript from Vidua macroura (Pin-tailed whydah), 1892 nucleotides. It is a transcript of the gene named splicing factor, proline- and glutamine-rich-like, with no coding region annotated. NCBI's taxonomy places the organism in Eukaryota, Metazoa, Chordata, Aves, Passeriformes, Viduidae. The record is from RefSeq and is a predicted model, not a curated record. The transcript has 2 exons.